UUGACAAAUCUAGAGUUGAAGAACUUUCACCAAACAUUCCAAAAGAGAAAUAGUGUUCAAAUUUCUUCUAAAAUGCAAAAGGAAAAACUCUAGAGUGUUUUCAAAGUAUAUUUAAACCAGCUCAAAGAGAAAGUGGCCAGCCCUAUUUAUAAAUUCUCUCAGCCACAAAGUACAAGUUGCUUUAAACUCUUAAGGAUAAAUGUAACAUUUAUCCACAAAAGUUUAAACUAAAGACGUGGCUUGGAGGUUGGGGGCAAUUCACCCAGAGGAUCGAGAACUGCAAGAAAGAGAGAGAGAGAUGGAUUUGACGAUGGAUUCAUGUCCCCCUUAUUACGAGGUAUGGGAGAAUAUAUAGUAGAGACCCUUGUAGGCCACACACGUCAUCUUUGAAUUUGUAGGCUUGUCAUUUGACAUAGAUUGUUUAUUAGUUGGAUUACGUGAGUUGAAGUGACAGAUUAAUGAUGCAUAACUAUAAUUUUAUCAGGGUGAUUAGAUCUGGAACGGCCAUGACCUCAACGAGCUGUCAUAUUUGGUGGUACUUAUCAUUUGACAGGGCUUUAUCUAUGCAUUGAAGCUUCAAUUGAGCAAAACAACCCAAUUAGAUGAAGCAUGCGUAGCAAAUGUAAUUAUAGAUGACGACUGUACAGCCUAUAACCUAAGUGUAUUUAUAAUUCAUUAGAGAAGGUUAUGAAAAAUAACUAUUGAAAAAGAAAAUCUAUAUCUCGUCCGUCAUUAAUAGCAAAUAAUAUUUGAAGUACUCUAUUAUUCCGCC
This 772-nucleotide long non-coding RNA is filed under the name Gossypium barbadense (sea-island cotton). Its description in RNAcentral is "long non-coding RNA (GBAR_LNC011230)". The record is from RNAcentral. Lineage: Eukaryota; Viridiplantae; Streptophyta; Magnoliopsida; Malvales; Malvaceae.